GCACACCCAAGCCGGGCCACUAACCCCCUGCGAGACAUGAGCCGCCGGCCAAAGUUCCACAUCACGCCGCCGCCAUCUCUCCCCUGCUCGGUUCUGUUCUUCCCUCACGGAAGGUUCGCUCCUCGUCUCUGCAGGAACUGAAAGAUCGAACCGGAGCCGGUAAAUCGUGGACUCCAUGAGGAUCAAGGUGAGUAAUUCGAACUCUAGAGUAUCGAUUUGUCCGCAAGAUUGAAUUGUGAACAUCUAGGAUUGCUUUGCAGGGGUGGGUAAGGAAAUGAUGAAUAUAUUUAGAUUCUUGCACGAAUUUGUCAUCCUACUUCCAAGAUUUAGUUUCAUCAGUAACUGUAGUAACUAAUACAUCCUUUUCAAUUCUUCUAGGUCAGUCAGUCCACUUAGCCGUACUUCAUUAGAUAAAUCGAAGAUAUUCCUAUAAUUAAAUCAAAUCGGUAUAUGUGAUCUAGACACCUCACAUACUUAUUUCAUGGUUGCCCCAUAUGACCCUUCUUUUUUUGCUGAACCUUCUAACUGCUGGUAAAUUAGUGAUAGCAUUUAGAAAUAUGAACAAAAUUAAGCUAUCAACUGACAGUGACAGCUUUUGAAUGUUGCAAUUUUUUUGUGAUAUUUUGAAAUUAUGUACGUCCCUCUACUGAAUGCUUGUAUUACUGCUACACUUAUUGUGAGGAUCAACAUAAUUUAAGUGGAGUCUUUUUACUCUGAAUUGCUCAGUUAUGCUGUCUAAUAAGUGUUCCCUUUGAUGGCUUUGUUUUUUCUGUCCGAUAAGUGUUUAACCGAUGGCACUAUAAUACUCCAUGUUUUACUGUCUCGUAUGUAUUGAACUGAUGGCAAUGACAUUAUAAUUAGAAUGGUGUUCCAGAAGUGUAUCGGAGGUGCUGGAGCACAAUCACAUGAUGAAGAUGUCAACUUACAGUGAGCAUUUUUAAUGAUGCAACUCUGAAGGAGUCAAUUGAUCAUGCUUGCAUUAUGAAAGAUGGAAGCUUUUUGUGGUACUUUGAACUUUUGUAAGUAACUUGAUGUGUUUGUGUUAAAGCUGUUGUACAACAAAAAUUAAAGUGGAUGUUAGUCUCAUCGUAUUACUAUGAAUGGUUGUGUCAUGUGGCAUAACAGUUCAGGACUUGUGGUCCACUUGGUUACUAGCAUCUGAUUUACU
Molecule: long non-coding RNA, 1168 nt
Filed under: Setaria italica (foxtail millet)
Lineage: Eukaryota; Viridiplantae; Streptophyta; Magnoliopsida; Poales; Poaceae
Description: long non-coding RNA (SITA_LNC003733)
Source: RNAcentral